RNAcentral lists this long non-coding RNA (354 nucleotides) under Capra hircus (goat). Its description in RNAcentral is "lncRNA (ENSCHIG00000004904.1)". Lineage: Eukaryota; Metazoa; Chordata; Mammalia; Artiodactyla; Bovidae. The record is from RNAcentral.
AUAUAAUCAGUCUGAUUUCAGUGUUGACCAUCUGGUGAUGUCCAUGUGCAGAGUCUUCUCUUGUGUUGUUGGAAGAGGGUGUUUGCUAUGACCAGUGCAUUCUCUAUGCGGUAUUAGUAUUUUUAGUAUUCUGAAGAUUGUAUGAUUCAUUUCUUCUGCAGGUGUAGUUUUUCUUACAGAAGAAUAUCCAGUUAUUUCAUGAUGGCAUUUGCACCUCCAAAAACCACAAAUGGUCCCAAAAUGCAGACAAAGAUGAAUACCUGGACACCCCUAAACCAUCAGCUUUUGAAUGACUGGUUGCAGCAUGCGGAAUCCAGUUCCCUGACCAGAGAUGGAACUCGGGCCCCUACAUAG